CGCACUUGCGCAUUCUCAUCAAAUCCAAUCCCUGUGUUGGUGUUUUGACUCGCUUUCUCAAAAGUAGUUAUCGCCGUUCUCAAAAGUAAAUAAAAGUAUACGCGCUUGCGCAUUCUCAUCAAUUUCAAUCCCUGAGUUGGGGUUUUGAUUCGCUUUCCCAAAAGUAGUCAUCGCCGUUCCCAAAAUUAAACAAAACUGUAUGCGCUAGCGCAUUCUCAUCAAUUUCAACUCUUGAGUUGAGGUUUUGACUCGCUUCCCAAAAGUCAAUGCCGUUUGCAAAAGUAAACAAAUAGGCGUUCUCGAAAGUAAACAAAUCUAUACACGCUUGCGCUUUCUCAUCAAUUCCAAUUCCUGAGUUGGGGUUUUGACUCGCUUUCCAAAAGUAGUCAUCGCCGUUCCCAAAAGUAAACAAAACUAUAUGCGCUUGCGCAUUCUCAUCAAUCAAUUCUCAUCGCUCCGGAGACGAUCCAAUCCGAUCUAGCGCGAUUCGGACAUUCGGCUUACAUUUUUAAGGGAUCUCUUUACAUCUAUGGAGGUUUCGAUGGUCAGAUGUUUUCGGACAUGUUUCGGACAUCCUCAAGUACACACCAGGUACUUGCGAUCAUCUGAGCGCGCAGAACGUCUGCUUGAACACCAGACCCGGAGUGAAGUGCGUUUGGGACCACAAGAAUGGGAGGUGCAUCAACAUUAAGGAUGUGCCGAGGACUCAAUUCAGUAGUGCCGAUUCCGUCAUCCUCCGUUGUCCGGAAAUGAAUUUUCCCUAUAUUGGUCACAAGUUCUUCGAGGAUAUGGAGAUUUGCAGUGAGAUCGAGGAUUGCGCCAGCUGCGUUUCCACAACCAGGAAAUGUGUCUGGUGCAAGACGCGUCAGUUAUAAAAUCAAUUCAUCAAAAUGUUAAAUUAAAUUUUCAUUUUAUUUUAACGUGCGCCUAUGAUUCGUGCAAGGAUUCAAAUGAUCUCCCUAUUUUCUCUUUAGACCAAUGCCCGAUGGAUGCGCGACCGAUGUGCGAUAAGUUGCAUACGUGUAAAGCAUGCAGCGCUCAAACUUACUAUUGUAAUGGUCUUAUGAGACCGCUAAAUUCUCGACGUAUACUCCGCCAACUACCGGAAACAAUCAGACCGAUGUGAUGGUUAUAGGUCAGGGCCAGCAGUAUCCUCGAUUCUGCUCUGAGUACAGCUCUUGUCAGGACUGCACCCGAGAAGAGUGUAUUUGGUGUCACUGCUACGAAGAUCCCAUAAACAAAGGAUUCUGCUACUGUAAAUGAUCUCACAAUCGAUUACCAGUUCACGUUCAAUCUGUCCAAGAAGGAGAACCCUACACGCAGAUCAACUUCCGGAAUUCGGUAUCCCCUCUGGAUACAGAUUUCGUUCUCGCAACCUCCCAAGCUCAAUCUUUAUCACAUUGGACCGCAUUCGUCAAAUUCAAAAUGCUGGAAACAAAGCAAGACUUGAAGCGGCAAACUGAAAUUUUGCGGAAGCAUUCGGAAUAUACGAAUGGUUCCGAAUUCAUCCAAUUCUUCUCCUUAUGCUCCUCCCAAGCAGGGGUUACUAGUUAAUUCAAUGGUCGCUAGUAGUCGCUAGGGGAAUAAAAAUUGAAGUGCUGCCACUACAACGAAUCUAGAUCAUUCGCUAUACCAACCGUAAAUAAAAAAAUAUAUAUAAAACACAAGCA
Molecule: RNA transcript, 1670 nt
Organism: Nicrophorus vespilloides
Lineage: Eukaryota; Metazoa; Arthropoda; Insecta; Coleoptera; Silphidae
Exons: 3
Source: RefSeq, a predicted model, not a curated record